RNAcentral lists this transfer RNA (76 nucleotides) under Planctomycetaceae bacterium. RNAcentral describes it as "tRNA-Val". It matches the Rfam family "tRNA". Rfam says of the family: Transfer RNA (tRNA) molecules are approximately 80 nucleotides in length. RNAcentral also lists the same sequence under 1 other name. Lineage: Bacteria; Pseudomonadati; Planctomycetota; Planctomycetia; Planctomycetales; Planctomycetaceae. The record is from RNAcentral.
GGUCGCUUAGCGCAGUUGGUAGCGCACUACACUCACAUUGUAGGGGUCACUGGUUCGAGUCCAGUAGCGACCACCA